RNAcentral lists this non-coding RNA (973 nucleotides) under Atlantisia rogersi (Inaccessible Island rail). RNAcentral's name for it is "12S ribosomal RNA". It matches the Rfam family "Bacterial small subunit ribosomal RNA". The record is from RNAcentral. Lineage: Eukaryota; Metazoa; Chordata; Aves; Gruiformes; Rallidae.
AUAGACUUAGUCCUAACCUUGCAGUUAGUUAUUGUCAAAUAUAUACAUGCAAGUAUCCGCACGCCAGUGUAAAUGCCCAUACCUCCUCCACAUCAAACAGGAGGAAGGAGCAGGCAUCAGGCACACUAUAAUGUAGCCCAAAACGCCUUGCUCAGCCACACCCCCACGGGUAUUCAGCAGUAAUUAACAUUAAGCUAUGAGUGUAAACUCGACUUAGCUAUGACAACCAACCACACUAGGGCUGGUAAAUCUUGUGCCAGCUACCGCGGUCAUACAAGAAGCCCAAAUUAACUGCCACCGGCGUAAAGAGUGGUAUUACACUAUUAUCCAACUAAGAUCGAAAUACAACUAAGCUGUCAUAAGCCCAUGAUGUACCUAAGACCAACCUCAAGACGAUCUUAGUAUUAUGAUCGACAGACACCACGAAAGCCAAGACACAAACUGGGAUUAGAUACCCCACUAUGCUUGGCCCUAAAUCCAGAUACUCUGCCCUACUAAAGUAUCCGCCCGAGAACUACGAGCACAAACGCUUAAAACUCUAAGGACUUGGCGGUGCUCCAAAACCACCUAGAGGAGCCUGUUCUGUAAUCGAUAAUCCACGAUAUACCCAACCCCUUCUAGCCCUAAGCAGCCUACAUACCGCCGUCCCCAGCCCACCUCCCUGAGAGCAACAACAGUGAGCACAACAACACCCCGCUAAUAAGACAGGUCAAGGUAUAGCCCAUGAAGGGGAAGAAAUGGGCUACAUUUUCUAAAAUAGAAAAUCCACGAAAAGGGAUCUGAAAAGAUCCCUAGAAGGAGGAUUUAGAAGUAAAGGGAGGCAAGAAUACCCCCUUAAACUCGGCCCUGGAGCACGUACAUACCGCCCGUCACCCUCCUCAAAGCCACUAAGUACCAGUAAAUAAUAAAUAUAUCAGGCUUAAGAUGAGGUAAGUCGUAACAAGGUAAGUGUACCGGAAGGUGUACUUAGCAU